Molecule: ribosomal RNA, 468 nt
Filed under: uncultured bacterium
Lineage: Bacteria
Description: partial 16S ribosomal RNA
Rfam family: Bacterial small subunit ribosomal RNA
Source: RNAcentral
GACGAACGCUGGCGGCGUGCUUAACACAUGCAAGUCGAACGGAAAGGCCCUGCUUUUGUGGGGUGCUCGAGUGGCGAACGGGUGAGUAACACGUGAGUAACCUGCCCUUGACUUUGGGAUAACUUCAGGAAACUGGGGCUAAUACCGGAUAGGAGCUCCUGCUGCAUGGUGGGGGUUGGAAAGUUUCGGCGGUUGGGGAUGGACUCGCGGCUUAUCAGCUUGUUGGUUGGGGAGUUGCUUACCAAGGCUUUGACGGGUAGCCGGCCUGAGAGGGUGACCGGCCACAUUGGGACUGAGAUACGGCCCAGACUCCUACGGGAGGCAGCAGUGGGGAAUAUUGCACAAUGGGCGGAAGCCUGAUGCAGCAACGCCGCGUGCGGGAUGACGGCCUUCGGGUUGUAAACCGCUUUAGCCUGUGACGAAGCGUGAGUGACGGUAAUGGGUAAAGAAGCACCGGCUAACUACGUG